RNAcentral lists this ribosomal RNA (253 nucleotides) under uncultured bacterium. RNAcentral's name for it is "partial 16S ribosomal RNA". It matches the Rfam family "Bacterial small subunit ribosomal RNA", at positions 524 to 776 of the family's 1533-position model. The record is from RNAcentral.
UACGAAGGGGGCUAGCGUUGCUCGGAAUUACUGGGCGUAAAGCGUGCGCAGGCGGUGAUGUAAGACAGAUGUGAAAUCCCCGGGCUCAACCUGGGAACUGCAUUUGUGACUGCAUCACUGGAGUGCGGCAGAGGGGGAUGGAAUUCCGCGUGUAGCAGUGAAAUGCGUAGAUAUGCGGAGGAACACCGAUGGCGAAGGCAAUCCCCUGGGCCUGCACUGACGCUCAUGCACGAAAGCGUGGGGAGCAAACAGG